Molecule: RNase P RNA, 325 nt
Filed under: Burkholderiales bacterium
Lineage: Bacteria; Pseudomonadati; Pseudomonadota; Betaproteobacteria; Burkholderiales
Description: RNase P RNA component class A
Rfam family: Bacterial RNase P class A
About the family: Ribonuclease P (RNase P) is a ubiquitous endoribonuclease, found in archaea, bacteria and eukarya as well as chloroplasts and mitochondria.
Source: RNAcentral
GAAGCAGGCCGGAUGGCCGCCGGCGCAGCGGGCAACCGCGGCGCGGGAGGAAAGUCGGGGCACCACAGAGCAGGGUAGCGGCUAACGACCGCCCGCGGCGACGCGAGGACCAGGGCCACAGAGACGAGCCGGUUCAGUCCGGAGUGAAACGCGGCAACCUCUACCCGGUGCAACACCAAAUAGGCAGGCGCUGACGCUGCUCGUCGAGCCUGCGGGUAGGUGGCUUGAGCCGCCGGGCAACCGGCGGCCUAGAGGAAUGGCCGUCAUAGGGCCGCCCGAAAGGACGGCCCCGUAACAGAACCCCGCUUACAGGCCUGUCUUCCAA